This 468-nucleotide ribosomal RNA is filed under the name uncultured bacterium. RNAcentral's name for it is "partial 16S ribosomal RNA". It matches the Rfam family "Bacterial small subunit ribosomal RNA", at positions 28 to 507 of the family's 1533-position model. The record is from RNAcentral.
GACGAACGCUGGCGGCGUGCUUAACACAUGCAAGUCGAACGGAAAGGCCCUGCUUUUGUGGGGUGCUCGAGUGGCGAACGGGUGAGUAACACGUGAGUAACCUGCCCUUGACUUUGGGAUAACUUCAGGAAACUGGGGCUAAUACCGGAUAGGAGCUCCUGCUGCAUGGUGGGGGUUGGAAAGUUUCGGCGGUUGGGGAUGGACUCGCGGCUUAUCAGCUUGUUGGUGGGGUAGUGGCUUACCAAGGCUUUGACGGGUGGCCGGCCUGAGAGGGUGACCGGCCACAUUGGGACUGAGAUACGGCCCAGACUCCUACGGGAGGCAGCAGUGGGGAAUAUUGCACAAUGGGCGGAAGCCUGAUGCAGCAACGCCGCGUGCGGGAUGAUGGCCUUCGGGUUGUAAACCGCUUUCGCCUGUGACGAAGCGUGAGUGACGGUAAUGGGUAAAGAAGCACCGGCUAACUACGUG